RNAcentral lists this ribosomal RNA (429 nucleotides) under Actinomycetes bacterium. RNAcentral describes it as "Actinobacteria bacterium partial 16S ribosomal RNA". It matches the Rfam family "Bacterial small subunit ribosomal RNA", at positions 355 to 776 of the family's 1533-position model. The record is from RNAcentral. Lineage: Bacteria; Bacillati; Actinomycetota; Actinomycetes.
UAGGGAAUCUUCCGCAAUGGGCGAAAGCCUGACGGAGCAACGCCGCGUGAGUGAUGAAGGUCUUCGGAUCGUAAAACUCUGUUAUUAGGGAAGCACAAAUGUGUAAGUAACUAUGCACGUCUUGACGGUACCUAAUCAGAAAGCCACGGCUAACUACGUGCCAGCAGCCGCGGUAAUACGUAGGUGGCAAGCGUUAUCCGGAAUUAUUGGGCGUAAAGCGCGCGUAGGCGGUUUUUUAAGUCUGAUGUGAAAGCCCACGGCUCAACCGUGGAGGGUCAUUGGAAACUGGAAAACUUGAGUGCAGAAGAGGAAAGUGGAAUUCCAUGUGUAGCGGUAAAAUGCGCAGAGAUAUGGAGGAACACCAGUGGCGAAGGCGACUUUCUGGUCUGUAACUGACGCUGAUGUGCGAAAGCGUGGGGAUCAAACAGG